UGUAUGGAAACAAGGCUGUGCGCCGGGGAACGUGCUGGCAGUGAACUAUCGCAGGAGUUCAACAAACCCGAACCUCGCGAGGCGAGUAGAACGGCUCGGUCACGGUGGGAGAACCACGUGCGCCUGUGCGUGGACGGCUGUGUGGAGUCCGUGUUUACUGUCAUGAGGCGGUGCCGUCUGUCACGUUGAUCUCCUCAUGGCCCCGGGAUCCUGCUGAGCGCGCGCGGGGCACAUCCAGCUCAUCCAGGCACACGGCGGCUGCACCUGUCCGCUGCAGGCUGCAGGCACACUUUUAAAACGUGCUUCUUCAUUGAUUGCAUUUCUCGCAGAAAAAUGAAAUGGUGUACAAGGACUGGUGUGACGACGUUUACAUUGCAGGAUUUUGCUCAUAUUUUUGCAUUUACUAAAAAUAUCCCUUAGAACUCUCAUGUAAUGUUGAAAUAAGCAGUAAGGUACUUUUUUUUCUCUCACGCAAGAAUAGCUCAUAAAAUGAGGUUUGAUGAUGAUCCUAACAAACUUAAUACACAAGGGUAUUUCCACAUUUAAUAGGAAUAAUAGGGGUCAGCUGCAGCUUAAUGAACGGAAAUAUGAGAACACACCAACAUUCAGUAGGUGUCACAUGUCAGACGAAAACAGGAACGACAGCAGUGGCAUUUGGGGGUCACUCAGCAACAUACAAGACAUGAAAAUCAUAAAUUGUUCAUCUCGUAGUUAAAGACACCUUAAAUUCAAGGCACAUUAUGAAACCACCGUGAAAGAGGUUUAGGGUUUUCCCAGUUUUCACACCUUUUUAACACAGCAGCAGCACAUUUAGUAAAAUCUAUGGCGAAUCAGAUGAAGUCGUGCACGUUUUUGUGGGGUUUUUUACAUUAUGAAGCUUCUUGCAUUUUCAUCAGUUGUUUUACUCCUUCUGACAAAAAAACAAAACAAAACUAAAAAU
Haplochromis burtoni (Burton's mouthbrooder) is the source of this 940-nucleotide long non-coding RNA. RefSeq lists it as uncharacterized. The transcript is spliced from 2 exons. The record is from RefSeq and is a predicted model, not a curated record. Lineage: Eukaryota; Metazoa; Chordata; Actinopteri; Cichliformes; Cichlidae.